Molecule: ribosomal RNA, 492 nt
Filed under: uncultured bacterium
Lineage: Bacteria
Description: partial 16S ribosomal RNA
Rfam family: Bacterial small subunit ribosomal RNA (bases 62-492)
Source: RNAcentral
GGGGGGGGGGGGGGGGGGGGCGGGGGGGGGGGGGGCGGGGGGGGGGGGGGGGAGGGGGGGGGCGGGCGGGGGGGGGGGGGGGGGGGGGUGAGGGAUGGAGCGGAGUCUGCUUUUUCGGGGGGGGGAACGUAGGGGAGCCUACGCGAAGACCGCAGACGACCGUGGGGGGAAAGGAGGGGAGCUUCGGACCUUGCGCGAUUGAAUGCGCCGGUGUCGGAUUAGCUAGUUGGCGGGGGCAAGGCCCACCAAGGCGACGGUCCGUAGCUGGUCUGAGAGGAUGUUCAGCCACACGGGAACUGAGACACGGUCCAGACUCCUACGGGAGGCAGCAGUGGGGAAUAUUGGACAAUGGGCGCAAGCCUGAUCCAGCCAUACCGCGUGGGUGAAGAAGGCCUUCGGGUUGUAAAGCCCUUUUGUUGGGAAAGAAAAGCAGCAGGUUAAUACCCCGCUGUUCUGACGGUACCCAAAGAAUAAGCACCGGCUAACUUCGUG